Molecule: long non-coding RNA, 6008 nt
Organism: Brassica rapa (field mustard)
Lineage: Eukaryota; Viridiplantae; Streptophyta; Magnoliopsida; Brassicales; Brassicaceae
Source: RefSeq, a predicted model, not a curated record
CAAUUAGAAGCCGAUUGGGUUUUUAGGCUUCAAAUUUCUUUUUUUUUUUUUUUUUGGGAAUUGGGAUUUUUAUGAUUUGGAGAAACGGAAACUUUGACACAAAGAUAAGAUUAUUUUUUGGCAGCUAGGAACGGAGAAGGGAAUGCUUGAAAUGGUGUAAUUAGAGAACACUUCAGACAAGAUACAACUAGAGAAGAAGACUCGAGGGAUUAAGGGAAAUGGAUCGAUAACUUGGAAGAAACUAGUUGCAAUGAGAAACCAGUUAUAUUUCAAAAAAAAAAAAAAAGAGAAGAUUCCAGCUAAGUAAAGAGAGAUAAUCUCGACAGAGACAGGCAGCCCAAAAAGAAAAGAAUUGAAGCACAUGCCCAUUUUUCAAGUCUUUCUAUUAAAAUAUCACAUUUUCUUAUUUAUUUAGAAAUUAUGGAAAUCUUUGAUUCUCAUUUGAUACCCAUCCGCACAGGGAAAGCUAUGUUGACUAGUUUCUCAGGUUAUUUUUUCACUUAUCUUUUAUCUUUUUUAUCUGAAUGACCUUGAACAAAAAAAAAUAUAUCUGAAUGACCUAUGUUCUACAUAUUCUUCUGUUUGUCAGUCCUUGUUUAUAUCUUUCAUUAAACUCUGAUACAAGUUUUGUUUCUGUUUCUUUGAUCUUUGUCUCUGGACAAACUCUAAUUAACGAAAUAAACAGAAACGAAACUUGCUAAAUAAUUUGGGACAGAUUAAAUGGUUAAAUAAUUUAUAAACUAUUGUCACAAAUUAAAUGGCUAAGUAAUUUAAAAAUAAAAAUUAACAAAAAAGAGAUAUUAAAGUUUGUGUUUUUUCAUGAAUCUGGGUUUCAUUGCGGUAAGUUGAAAUAAAAAAGAGCUAAACCAAUCAAAUCUAACCACAUUCUCACUUCUUACGAGGUCAGUUAGAAGUUAACCAACUACUUUCACUAAACAACCAUAUCUUAACUUGUAAGAGCCCGUAAUUCCGUAUACAUACUUAUAAGGGCGUAUUUACCAAAUAACCAAAAUCAUAACUGAAAUUAAGUGUAUGAUAUUGAUUUUGACCAAAUGAAAAAAUUAACAUUUAAGCUUCAUGUUAUUCGGUUGUACCCUCCAUAAGUGCAAGUUGCUGGUACAAAAAUAAGAAGGAGAUGAUGUUGAUGGUUUAUGGUGUGGACACUUUUAUGAGAUUGAUGUGCAGAAUUGAAGUUUAAUAGGACCUCUACGUAACUUUUUUUUACCCCAUACAUUUAUUAAUAUACGUAGUAAAUAAGUGGAUACGAUACAAUACUUUGCAGAAUUGGAAUUUGGUAAGACAUCCACGUACUAUUCUAUGUCAUCAACAUAGUACCAGCACACAACAUGUGGUGGAAACCAUACAUAAUAAACCCACCUUUAACCUAUGACUACAAUACCCAAACUCUUACUUAGUAAAUCUAAAUUCUAGGUAUGAACCUAUAAAUCUAAAUACAAUAUAUAAAUUGUUUUCCAAUAUUAGAUAUUUGAAGGACAUUUACUUGGUUAGAAGAUUGUAUAUAUUUUAUUUCAUAUAGUCUAAAUCCUAAUCAAGAAAGUAUAAACCCAAAUAGAAUGUAUAUAAUAUGGUUUACUAUACUCAAACCAUUACUUAGUAAAUCGAAACUUUAGAUAGGAAUCUAUAAAUCCAAAUACAAUUUAUAAUUUUUUUUUAAUAUUAAACAUUUGAAGGCAUAUUUACUUGGUUAGCAAAUUACAUAUUUUCUAUUCUAUACAAUCUAAAUAGUAUAAUAAAUCAUUCAAACCGUGUAAGUUACAAAGUAAACAUUACCCAACCCAACCACUAAAUACGAAAACCUAAACUUCAAACACUAAACCCAAAUCCAAAUAUAAACUAUAAUAUAUAUUUAUGAAAUUUUAAAUAUAUUAUAUGCGUUCACUGUAAAAUCACAUUAAUAGAAUAUAACAAAUAAAUAUUACAUUGCAACUUUUAAAAGAGGGGGAUACUAUAGUUGGCAAAGGGGAAGAGGAGAGUACGGUGUUUUUAUCAACUCCAUCCAACGAUGGUUGAAAUAAUUAGUAUAAUAUACUUCAAUGUAUGUUUGUAAGUUCUCUCCAUACACAUGACAUUAGAUAAUGUUGAGAUUACAAUAUAUGAAUAGAAUAGUCUGCCAAAUAUAACAUGGUUUAAAUUGCUAUUCUUUGUCGUUGUUGCUUCGCCGUAGCAAUCUUUGGCAAUCGGAUAAUCAGCGAAGAAUCACCUUCGCGAUAAUACCAUUACACACAGUUUUCUCUAUCGGAAAGAUCCGUCAAGAUUAAAGACGAUGAAAAAGCGAUGGAAUAAAUUUGGAAAUGAGGGGUUAUGACUUUCCAAUUGCCACGAUUUACUUUUGUUACAUAAUAAUUUAUUCAUUUCAUUUUUUCUCUAUAGGUUUUACCGGUUGCUUCAAAGGACAAUAUGACAAUAUUACAUAAAAUACAUAUGGCACACACAAAAAGUAGGGCAAUUAGUCAUAGAUUGAAUUAUAAUUUGUUUGAUAGCUAAAUGCUUUCCCUACUUAUAAAGUUUUUUUUAACUAAGGCUUUCAUUCAACUUAUAAAAGUAAUUACAAAUAGAAAUAUUCUUUUCGUACUCUUUUCUCAUACCAAAUAAGAAUUUUUUUUCAGUUUUCAUUGAGUACAAUUUAACCUAAUAUCCAAGAUUGACUACUCAUUCAUGCACCAAAGAACCGUGCGACUGUGAGAAAACCCUUUAUAACAAUGUUUUUAAUCCUGAUAGAGAUACUGAACUAAAUUAUUUUUCAGGGUCACCGAUCGAUCAUAAUCAAUAGAUUAAUAAAUGCUAAUAUGUAGUUAUACAUAAAUAUAAUAUUAUUAACUAUUGGAAAUAAGAUAAUAUACAGUAUUCAUGUUUUAUUUACAAAAUAUAAUUCUUGGAUCAGUCUGUUCUGCCAAAAGCUCACGUUUCAUGGUAAAAUCAUGGACUUGAAUGGCUUAAAACUAGAGAUGGCAUUUUGACCGCAGCCCGCGGGCCUGGCCCGUACAAGACCCAUGCGGGGCGGAUUUGGGUAAAGGUAAUCGAAGCCCAUUUAAAAGCGGGUCUCGCGGGUAAGUGUCAUGCGGGUUUGGGCUUUUGCGGUCUAGGCUCAGCGGGUCUUGCGGGGUCGACAUAACCCGCGACCACUUCCUCAUUUGCUGUCUUUACACCUGAAAAAAAAGAGUCAAGAGACGAAAAUGGCGAUCAGGGUUCUCUACAGCACGACUCCACCAACGAGCACCAGAGGAGCAGCACCACCAACCGAUUCUUCUUCUCCUCGACUAAGACCACCAUCAGAGCUUCUCUCCAUCUUCUUUCCACCACCACUGGAGCUUCUCUCCUUCCUCGAGCUUCCACUGGAACUCUCCAUCUCCUCGUCCGAAGCAAGUUGCACCGUGCAACAACAACAACAACAACAUCUUCUCAAGCUCACCCCAAUGAAACAUCAUGUUUUGCAUACCCGCGGGCCAGCCCGCAAUGUCCUAUGUAGUAAGCGGGGCGGGUUUGGGCAGAGGUUUAAGUACCGCGGGUCACGGCGGGCUUACCCGCAAAGAACCGCCGGAGAGAGAGACCGCAGCGGGGCGGGCCAAUGCGGGGCGGGUGGUACCAAAUGCCAUCUCUACUUAAAACAUUCGAGUCCGUAGUCAUUUGAUUCUUCUUUUAUUAUUUAUAACUGAAUUUUAAAAUCAGGAAACCCUAAUUUUGAUUUCUAGGUUGUGUAUCGAAAGGGAAGAAAAUGAUAUCUCAAUUCUUGGAUCAUACUGGGUUGUGGAUAGCAGUCUGUUCUGUCAAAAGCUCACACUACAUGGUAAAAUCUUGGCUGGAAACAAAACCAAGAAAAAUCAAAACUUUUCAGAGAUUCUCGAGAAGGUUGAAGGAGAAGGACACUUAUUUCCAUGGCGAACAAUUUAUAUCAUGUAUGUAAUUAAAACAAACAAAUCAUUUUUUUUUCCGAAAUGUUCUACAUGUAAAUACAUCUUUGGUCAUCAAUUAAUCGACCGGUCAACUCUGAUUGACUCGGUUUAGUUUCUGUGAUCUGAACAUGAAAUUUCCUAUAGUAUGAUUUUUCACUGCGGAUCGAAAAUUUGUUUGUGGUUUAAUACGUUUCUCGAACGAUCUGUUAAAUAGUUUUUAUUUGUGGAUUUUUUAUUUAAGCUGCGUUUUAGAAUACUUAGGUAUGUACACCAUAAAUGAUAUUGGCCUCUUGUAACGGAUUUGGAUUUCAACUGGAAAUCCAUUAAUUGAUUAUUGACAAAUGUAAUGGAUUGUACCAGGUACUACUCAAUGUACAUACAUGUGGUGAAACUAGCACAUGGGAUUAGGAACGGUGCUGCUUCGGUUGAUGGUGUCGAUGCCAAACUCCGGCAGGUCAGUCAGUGCUCUCUUUACUGACUUUUCUAUGAAGCAUCUCUGACAAUUCUAGGCUACAAUGAGAUACAAAAACUGACCAUCAAAUCUUUGAAACAGAAUAGGAGCUGUAGUUAGAAAGAAGUUCUUAUGUCUGAAUGAAAGAGGGAAUACAUUUCUAUAUAUUCUAUUACUGGUGAAUAUAUAUGCCACCAUUCUUUAGGGUAUGUGAUAAUUUUUUGAGUGAUUUAACACUUUUAAUCUCACUGAUGCAUGUUGUCAGCUACCUUAAAUUUAACUUGCAUCCUCUGAAAGAAAUACGAAGACAUUCAUACUGAAGCAUCGAGUGAAGCGUUUUUCUCUUGACAGGUAGUACCAGAGACGAUCCAAGAAGAUGUGAUCUUUAAAAUGAGUGCACCACCAAAGAGUGAUGCUCCUCUUAUCACCUCCAACGACCUUGCUGAGGCUGAUGGGUUUGUCUUUGGCUUCCCAACAACGUUCGGUAUGAUGGAAUUCAAGGCAUGCAACGGGCAGGAAUAUUUUAGGCUCUCAAGCAUAUAUAUUUUUUGGCCCAUUAAUUAUUAGCUUUUCAAAAAAUUCAAAUAUAUCUGCCGACAGUUUAAACCCACGAUCUCAAACCUUCGUACUAAAGCCAAACACCAAUAGAACUGUAGGCAUUUUUAUACAAAAUAUUGGCCCCUUAAACUAUUAAACAAUUUUGGCCCCAAGCUCAUGCUUGACCAGCUUGUGGUCCAAUCCGGCCCUGUUGGUGGCCUCUGGAGAACUCCACAACUUGCUGGUAAGUCAGCCAGAAUCUUCUACAGCUAGCACCGGGCCUCAAGGUGGUGAUCAAGAAACCAUCGAGUAAGUUUUUUUUCAAUCCAAAACAACACCUCAUCAAAGACAAUUGCUUCAGUUUCUACGUUUUGGAAUGUUUAUUUAUGUUAUCAUUGAUUUCUAACACAACCUUUUGUAAUCUUUGUAAGCAUCAGUCAAAAACUAUUUUCAGGACUAACUCUACUUUUAUAAAUCUUGAUCUCAUACAGUUAAGCAAACAUAAGAAUCUUUUCUCAUUUUUAUUUAUUUCUAAACAGAAUAAUCAAGAUAUAUGUUUACAUCUACAUGUUUGGUUGCUAAUGACAUUUAUAGCAUAUGGUGAGUUGGUUUGGAUCGCCUGAGCAAGAUCCUGAAAGAUCCAAAAAGAUCAAAGUUUAAUAGGACGAAGAACAAAAGAAAAACAAAUCCAGAAAAAGAUCAAAGUUUCACUUCUUUUUUUAUUAUCAAAGAUUAAUUUGGAUCGCCUGAGCAAGAUAAUAACAGUAUCAUACAAAUUCUACUAACCCCUUUGCUGAGCCCGACAAAACAUCAAAAAAAAAAUACAAAAUCAAGUAAUACCCAUAUGUGUGUAAAUAUUUUUCAACUAUUAAAAAAUAUAGCUACCUAAAUUAAAAAAAAAAUCAAAAAAGAAAAUUUCAUAUCCCUAUUCAAAUCCACGUGCUCGAAUUAAACUCGAAAUUGUAUCGGUUUCUAACAUUGUUAUUUGAACAAAAUCAAAAACCAAAAUAACUAAAUCCAAACAAAAUCCAAAUUCAUAAAUAACCAAACAGUUUCUAUGUCUCUUGAAUCGGAAACCAAAAUAUACAACAGAAAACAAAAAAUAACAA